This is a long non-coding RNA of Patella vulgata (common limpet), 1531 nucleotides long. RefSeq lists it as uncharacterized. The record is from RefSeq and is a predicted model, not a curated record. The transcript has 2 exons. NCBI's taxonomy places the organism in Eukaryota, Metazoa, Mollusca, Gastropoda, Patellidae.
CGCCUGUCCAACCUUGUGGGUUUUCUCCAGGUUUUCCGGUUUCCCAAAGACCCCUACGCGCAAGCAAAUUAUUGAAAUAAAUUUGAACCAUAUGUUAGUCCCGAAAUGACCUAGUGUGUGUCGAGUGGACAUUAAACCCCAUUUCUCUCUCAUAAAAAUACUGUUUUGCUCCGACUGGGAUGAAGAUGGGCAUACAUCAUGCAGUUUGCUAUGACUAUGAGGGAAAUCUUGUCCGGACAGCAGCGAUGCAGCCUGCUCUUAUUUUGAAAUCCGACUGUUAGAGACCUUAUGAUCUAAAGUGCACUCGAUAAACCAAUCCGCCAUUCAAUCCCCUCUAAAGCCAAGUUUCAUGGUCUAAAGUGCACUCGUUAAACCAAUCCGCCAUUCAACCCCCUCUAAAGCCAAGUUUCAUGUUCUAAAGUGCACUCGUUAAACCAAUCCGCCAUUCAACCCCCUUUAAAGCCAAGUAGGAAAUUAAUGGUGUUCUGUGGCCAUAGUGUUAGUAAAUAUGUUAUGGUAAUAUGUCAUUCAAGUAAUAAUAUAUUCCUUCAUUGACCGUAAUGGUCAGGUUCAUAUUAGGAUUAAUUAAGAUCAUAUUAUGAGCAAUAAUACAUUGUACCGUAUACUUUAUAUAUAGAAGUGCCUCGGGUACUUGUGCCUGUAAUUGGAAGGCAGGAAUAUCGUGAUGGCUAUUAUAAUAGUUGUUAUGGCAGCUAAUAUGGCAGAUUUAUCAAAAUCAAAAUCAAUACCAGCACAAGCCUUAGGGUAUUUAGAAUAUACACUAGAGGGCACACCAUGACACAGGUCCAAGUGUUUUUCAGUCAUAGCACAAUGAUAGAUUUCUGGUUCCAGCCAUGACAAUCUGAUUCAACUACAGAUCCUAUUUCGUUUCGGUUUUUGUUAUAGUUCAAAAUUUCGUUUGAUUUGUCUGUACUACAUUACUAGGAUCUGGAAGAGUUGUUAUAUAAGCCGCGGUCUGGAUGAUGUGACGGAUUAGCCAAUGAAAUGGCCUGUUUCAGCGAGCUUUUGGUUUGAGGUGCACGGAACUGUGGGUUACCCACUAGAAGCAUCAACGCUGAUUGGUUAAUCGAAUGUCUGACAUCAAGCCGCUCGUAUAACCCCUGAUGUGACACCAGUACAACUGGUCAGAUCUUCAUGUAGUUUAGGCCAUCAAAAGUAUAAAAAAAAAACAAUACGAAAUAUACAUCUGUAUUUUAAUCAGAUUGAACCGAAAAAAAAAAAAGAAAACAAAUUGUCUUAGGAUUUGAAGUGGUAAAUUUCGGUGAAUUUUCGGAACCUGCUUCCAAGUUGCGGGUCCUGGGCAUUUGUACAAUUUGCCGAGACUGAAUGGUAACAAUCAUUUGUCUGUAUACCUAGUAUUACGUGCGAUUUUGCUCAGAAAUAAAUUGUUGUUGUUUUAUUUUAUUUUUAUUGGUAAUGAAAUUAUACCAAAUAAAAACAGAUUUUUGUUUUCUGUUUCAAGACUCAACCUAAGAAAAUAAAUUACUUUGAAUUAAAUUUUUAAAACAUA